CACACACCUGCUUCUCCAGUGAAGGGGCAGAAGAAAAUAAAAGAAUUUGUAAGGAAGGUUUGAAAUUAAAAUGGUAUUACAAGGCACAGACCACAUUGGGAUGGGGUCAAGGUGCAAGCCUGUUUACAUGACUGGGGGUGGGGGAGUGAGAAGUAGCCCACUUAUCAGGAGCAGAGAGAAUUCUGGGUAGGGACAGAUGAACCAGUCCUGGAGAACAGCAGCAGGACUGCAUCUGAGAUGGAGAAACAAGAAGCACCUCAGCCAAGGUCUCUAAGAUCAUGCGACAGGUUGGAGCUCCAUGAAAACAAACUGAUGAAGUUGACUCACAGAGGUGGCUCGCAAUCCAGAGAUGAAGUAGCAACUGCAAAUACUAGGAGUUUGGUGCCAUCUGGUGCAUUUUGUUGGUAUGUUCUCCCUACUGCCAGCCACCUGGUGGUGCACAGAAACUCUGUCUACAAGAUCUUGCUACGUAGCCCUGACUGUCCUGGAACUCAACAUAUAGACCAGGCUGGCCAGAAACUCACCUCCUCUGUGCCAGGACAAAGGCAUCCACCACAACAACCAAUUUACCUCCUGUGGUUUUGUUGCUGGCAUUUUCCUUCUCAUCUAAGAAAACACCAAAAAAUAUAACUGGAUUUUUAAAGUGAAGGCAAUGAAACUUAUGCAAGAUACCUAUCUAAUAAAU
Molecule: long non-coding RNA, 685 nt
Organism: Mus musculus (house mouse)
Lineage: Eukaryota; Metazoa; Chordata; Mammalia; Rodentia; Muridae
Product: predicted gene, 32454
Exons: 3
Source: RefSeq, a predicted model, not a curated record